UCAACAAAAGAAGAGCCAAAAAUGAUACCAGAUGCUACUUAAAACUUUUGAGAAAUUCUUGGUGAGGGUACACACAUAGGCAUCAUAACUGCGAAUGUGCAGCAUUGAAGUUGACCAUCCUUUGUUAGCUAAGGAAACAGCAAGGCAAAAUAUGACACAGUUAAUGAAUCAAACCUAGAAACAUAAUGAUCUGGCAGGAGGUAAACUGUAGGGUGAAAUAAUAAUAGAUUCAAGUUGCCACCUAGAACAGUGAUCCGACCUACACUUACUUGUUUUGAAUGAUUUGUUUUUCUGCUCUCUCUUCUAAGGGUGUGAUCUCUGAGUAUAUGUGUGUAAACCAAGUAUUGAGCACUCUCGUCAACACAGUACUAAAGAAUCUGAUUUGACCUUCAUGUCAACUCAGCAAAGGAGGUAUUACCAUUCAUCAUUGUAGAAUGAAUUGAGAUUUGAGAAGGGUUAGACACUUUCUCCAAAUCUCACAACAGGCUUUAGUCCUGUCUGAUUGAAAGAUGUAACAUCACUGGGGAGCUGAGCGAUCACCCCUCCUUCGUUGUUCUAGAGGGAAGGAGGAAGGGAGAAGCAGAGGAAGCAAAAGAGAAAAAUCACUGGGAGAAAAAGAUGACUUAGGAAUCAAUGACACAACCAUUUAUGAAGUUCAAAGAAGAGAAAAAGGAAGCAUGGAACAAAGAAUACAGAGAGAGAAAAGACGCAAAUCAGUGGAAGAGGAAAUGAGAAAGAUUAACUUGGUGAUAUUGGGUCCCAGAUAUAUUUAUUAUCUGUCUACCUACCUAUCCAUCUGUCUGUCUAUUAUACAUUUUCUUCAUGUGUCCCUGAAAAUGGGGGAAACAAGAAGACUUUUUAUGGCAUUGCCCCUCUUGCCUAUUCUCUGGUCUCUGUGUCACCUGGAGUGCCCCAUAUGUAAUUUGUAGCCAUACUCUAAUAAAU
Molecule: long non-coding RNA, 945 nt
Organism: Manis pentadactyla (Chinese pangolin)
Lineage: Eukaryota; Metazoa; Chordata; Mammalia; Pholidota; Manidae
Exons: 3
Source: RefSeq, a predicted model, not a curated record